CCUACGGGUGGCAGCAGUGGGGAAUAUUGGACAAUGGAGGCAACCCUGAUCCAGCCAUGCCGCGUGUGUGAAGAAGGCCCUCGGGUUGUAAAGCACUUUCAGUGAGGAAGAACGCCUGGUGGUUAAUACCCAUCAGGAAAGACAUCACUCACAGAAGAAGCACCGGCUAACUCCGUGCCAGCAGCCGCGGUAAUACGGAGGGUGCGAGCGUUAAUCGGAAUUACUGGGCGUAAAGCGCGCGUAGGUGGCUUGAUAAGCCGGUUGUGAAAGCCCCGGGCUCAACCUGGGAACGGCAUCCGGAACUGUCAAGCUAGAGUGCAGGAGAGGAAGGUAGAAUUCCCGGUGUAGCGGUGAAAUGCGUAGAGAUCGGGAGGAAUACCAGUGGCGAAGGCGGCCUUCUGGACUGACACUGACACUGAGGUGCGAAAGCGUGGGUAGCAAACAGGAUUAGAUACCCGAGUAGUC
This 465-nucleotide ribosomal RNA is filed under the name Vreelandella stevensii. RNAcentral's name for it is "partial 16S ribosomal RNA". It matches the Rfam family "Bacterial small subunit ribosomal RNA", at positions 338 to 795 of the family's 1533-position model. Lineage: Bacteria; Pseudomonadati; Pseudomonadota; Gammaproteobacteria; Oceanospirillales; Halomonadaceae. The record is from RNAcentral.